Molecule: ribosomal RNA, 486 nt
Filed under: uncultured bacterium
Lineage: Bacteria
Description: bacterial SSU rRNA
Rfam family: Bacterial small subunit ribosomal RNA
Source: RNAcentral
AGGACGAACGCUGGCGGCGUGCUUAACACAUGCAAGUCGAACGAGGAUCAAGGAAGAGCUUGCUCCGAGAUGAUUCGAGUGGCGGACGGGUGAGUAACGCGUGAACAAUCUGUCUCAUACAGGGGGAUAACGCAUCGAAAGAUGUGCUAAUACCGCGUAGGACCACAGCAUCGCAUGGUGCAGGGGUGAAAGGAGCAAUCCGGUAUGAGGUGAGUUCGCGUCUGAUUAGAUAGUUGGUGAGGUAACGGCCCACCAAGUCAACGAUCAGUAGCCGACCUGAGAGGGUGAUCGGCCACAUUGGGACUGAGACACGGCCCAGACUCCUACGGGAGGCAGCAGUGGGGAAUAUUGGGCAAUGGGCGAAAGCCCUGACCCAGCAACGCCGCGUGAAGGAAGAAGGUUUUCGGAUCGUAAACUUCUGUCCUUGGUGAAGAUAGUGACGGUAGCCAAGGAGGAAGCCCCGGCUAACUACGUGCCAGCAGCUGC